Molecule: ribosomal RNA, 440 nt
Filed under: uncultured bacterium
Lineage: Bacteria
Description: partial 16S ribosomal RNA
Rfam family: Bacterial small subunit ribosomal RNA
Source: RNAcentral
CCUACGGGAGGCAGCAGUGGGGAAUAUUGCACAAUGGGGGAAACCCUGAUGCAGCGACGCCGCGUGAGUGAAGAAGUAUCUCGGUACGUAAAGCUCUAUCAGCAGGGAAGAAAAUGACGGUACCUGACUAAGAAGCCCCGGCUAACUACGUGCCAGCAGCCGCGGUAAUACGUAGGGGGCAAGCGUUAUCCGGAUUUACUGGGUGUAAAGGGAGCGUAGACGGCAGCACAAGUCUGGAGUGACAUCCCGGGGCUUAACCCCGGAAUUGCUUUGGAAACUGUGGGGCUGGAGUGCAGGAGGGGUAAGCGGAAUUCAUGGUGUAGCGGUGAAAUGCGUAGAUAUUAUGAGGAACACCGGUGGCGAAGGCGGCUUACUGGACUGUAACUGACGUUGAGGCUCGAAAGCGUGGGGAGCAAACAGGAUUAGAUACCCUUGUAGUC